CGUCUAUAUACGUAUAGCAUAUCAAUAAGCGGAGGAAAAGAAACUAACAUAGGAUUCCCUCAGUAACGGCGAGUGAAGCGGGAAGAGCUCAAAUUUGAAUAUCUUCAAGGUUUUACCUUGACGAAUUGUAGUUUAAAGAAGUGUUUUCUGUUGAAGUUUUGGUAAAAGUUCUUUGGAAUAGGACAUCAUAGAGGGUGAGAAUCCCGUAUUUGACCAUUAUCUCCAGCUGUGUGAUACACUUUCAAAGAGUCGGAUUGUUUGGGAAUGCAGUCCAAAAUGGGUGGUAAAUUUCAUCUAAAGCUAAAUAUUGGCGAGAGACCGAUAGCGAACAAGCUACCGUGAGGGAAAGAUGAAAAGAACUUUGAAAAGAGAGUUAAACAGUACGUGAAAUUGUCAAAAGGGAAGCGUUUGACACCAGUGUUGUUUUUCCGAAAAUCAAUUACGAAUGUCUUGAUUUUGAUGGUGUAUUGACCUUAUCAGCUUUCUUCACUUUUUUCGAGUCUUUCUUAAUGCACUUUUCGGUUAACAAGUCAACAUCAAUUUCUUUUGUUGUAAAAGAGUAUUCGGAAGGUGGCUUUCUUUUCGGAGAAAGUGUUUAUAGCCCUAUACUUCUACAAUCGGAGAGACUGAGGUCUGCAGCGUAGAUCCUUCUUGGAUUAGAUUCAUUUGUGCUAAGUUAUAGCUUUUUAUAGACAACUUGUUGACUAUAUUUAGUCUUGUAGCUUACUCGCUUAUGUAAUUUUACCUACGCUUAGGAUGUUGACUGAUAUGUAGUCGUA
Molecule: ribosomal RNA, 779 nt
Filed under: uncultured Neocallimastigales
Lineage: Eukaryota; Fungi; Neocallimastigomycota; Neocallimastigomycetes; Neocallimastigales
Description: partial large subunit ribosomal RNA
Rfam family: Eukaryotic large subunit ribosomal RNA
Source: RNAcentral